CUUUUCAUGAUAAAACUUAGUGACUAAUUAGGAGAAGUUGUUUUCGAAUUAAAACGAAUCUAGUAAAGAAUAAGUAAGAAUUUUGGGAAAUAUAGAGAAUGUAGUUGAGUGGAGUUAGGAUUAGCUAAAUUAUUUUAUCUAAUCUUCGAAAAGAUAAUGGUGAUGAAUAUAUGAAUGAAACUAAAUUGAUAUAUUAGUUAAUGUAUUUAAUUGAUAAACUUUAUUUGUGAGUUUAUUGAUGAAGUUUCAUUGACGUGAAUUAUUGAUGAAUUCUAUUUGUGUACUAAAUGAUGAAUUUUAUUGGUGUAUGAAUUCUUUUGGUGUAUUAGUGAUGUGUUCGUGCGUAUGCACAAUGACGGUGUUUUCGUGCUUAUGCACAAUGACGAGGUGUGAUUGUUCAUGAAUAUAACUAGGAUGUUCAAUUUAUUGAUGAUGAUAAAUAAGGAUUUAUCAUGCGUAGGUGUAUUCUAAAGA
RNAcentral lists this long non-coding RNA (474 nucleotides) under Trifolium pratense (red clover). Its description in RNAcentral is "long non-coding RNA (TPRA_LNC008851)". The record is from RNAcentral. Lineage: Eukaryota; Viridiplantae; Streptophyta; Magnoliopsida; Fabales; Fabaceae.